RNAcentral lists this ribosomal RNA (485 nucleotides) under uncultured bacterium. RNAcentral describes it as "partial 16S ribosomal RNA". It matches the Rfam family "Bacterial small subunit ribosomal RNA", at positions 28 to 507 of the family's 1533-position model. The record is from RNAcentral.
GACGAACGCUGGCGGCGUGCUUAACACAUGCAAGUCGAACGCUGAAGACCUGGCUUUUGUUGGGUUGGAUGAGUGGCGAACGGGUGAGUAACACGUGAGUAACCUGCCCUCUUCUUUGGGAUAACGCCCGGAAACGGGUGCUAAUACUGGAUAUUCACUGAUCUUCGCAUGGGGGUUGGUGGAAAGGUUUGUUCUGGUGGGGGAUGGGCUCGCGGCCUAUCAGCUUGUUGGUGGGGUGAUGGCCUACCAAGGCUUUGACGGGUAGCCGGCCUGAGAGGGUGACCGGUCACAUUGGGACUGAGAUACGGCCCAGACUCCUACGGGAGGCAGCAGUGGGGAAUAUUGCACAAUGGGCGAAAGCCUGAUGCAGCGACGCCGCGUGAGGGAUGGAGGCCUUCGGGUUGUAAACCUCUUUCGCUCAUGGUCAAGCCGCAACUGUGGGUUGUGGUGAGGGUAGUGGGUAAAGAAGCGCCGGCAACUACGUG